This is a long non-coding RNA of Mus pahari (shrew mouse), 2379 nucleotides long. RefSeq lists it as uncharacterized. The record is from RefSeq and is a predicted model, not a curated record. Lineage: Eukaryota; Metazoa; Chordata; Mammalia; Rodentia; Muridae. The transcript has 3 exons.
GAUAUGCUGUGCACAAUUCUAGACUUUCAGAGUGGUGGAGGGUAUUCCACAUCAGCCACCUCCUGUGGGACUGGUGUUACGCCUGAAAUGGCUGCAUGACAUUCAAGGAUGUGUUCUCCAUAUUCUCCUGGGAGGAGUGGGAACUCCUUGAUGAUCACCUGGACGUCCAUGUGAUGCUGGCGAACUUCAUGCUUGUUGCCACACUUAGAGUUUUCUAAAACAGAGUAAAGGCUGGGAACACAGCUCAGCUGGUAGAGUGCUUGCCCAGCCUGCAUGGAGUCCUGGAACCCUGAUUUGUUUCUCUCUCGGCAUGGUAAAACACCAAUCAAAAGCAACUUGGUUGGGGGAGAGUUUACUUGGCUUACACAUCUUGAUUCCAUUUAAUCAUGAGGAACAUCAUGGCAGGAACUCAAAAGCAGGAGCAGAGGCAGGAACUGUGGAGGGGGGAACGCUGCUUACUGGCUUCCUUCUUAUGGCUUACCUAGCUCUCUUUCUGAUACAACCCAGGGCCUCUUGCCUAGGAAUUGUACUGCCCACAAUUGCCUGGGUCUUCCUGCAUCCAUUAUUCAUCAAGAAAAUGCCUCCACAGACAUGCCCACAGGAGAAGCUGGAGGAGGCAAAUCCUCAAUAGAGAUUUCCCUUUCCCUUUCCCAGACAUGUCUAGGUUUGUGUCAGGUUGACACAAACUAACUAGCCCACCUGGGUUUGAGCCUCAGUUUUAUAGGACCUCGGUAUGGUGGCAUGCAGGAGUAAGAGGGAGAGGAGAACCAGAAGUUCAGGGUUAUCCUUGGCUAUGUAGAGACUACAAAACCAGGCUAGGAUGAAUGAGAUCCUGUCGUUUCCCCUCCUUCCCUCAACUUGAAAAAAACAGAGACCAGAGUCAGGAGGAAGCCCAGGCCAUACCCUUUCCUAGAGUUCCUAGGGAAAAGAAUAUACAGCCAGAUGGCCAGUAUAAUUCCUCUGUACUCAAGGCAAGGCUGUUUAGUAUCUGGCCCUGUGUUGACUUAGGAUAAGGGAAAUAAAUACUGGGUUGAUCUGAGAGUUAGAAGUGGUUGUUGAGAGUAUGGGCUGUGCAUGGCAUGGGAGAUGUAGGCAAUCCUCAUUUUUAUUUUAGGCCAGUAAUUAAUGGGUGGCCAAUAAAACCUGUUUAUAAAGAGGCUGCUUGUCCUUUGAACUAUCUCUUUUGUGGCAGGGCUCUGUGGCCUUUGAUGCUGAGGGCCAUGCAGGAGGAACAACAAAUGGCUUUAGAACUCAUGGAAUCUGGCCCACAAGUUAGCACAACCCAGAUGUUUGUGCCUCAGAGAGGCAGGGGACCCACUCAGGACUACAUGUCCUUUGGGCUUCACUCUGUCAUUGAGUUUUGCUCUGCUUGCUGCCUUCACAUCCAUCUUAAUGUAAGAAUUGUAUGAAAGCUCUAACGGGGCUUCCAGCCCCUCUCUGGGCAGUAUCUCUGGCACUCACAAUAAUAAGACUUGAUCUUUUUCAACCAUUGCUUCUGGAGCAGACUAAUGAUUCAGUUACCACCCUAAGAAAGAACUUAGAAAUAUAGAUGGCUAGCUAAGACCGCCAUCCUUAGAAAGCAUUUGAAAGGCUAAAAUUGAUAGUGAAGCCAGAUUAAGAUGUUUUUGUUAGUGGCUCUGAUGUAGAAAAUCUUAGGAAACAAUUUGAAGCUUAGGAGCACAUAUCUUAUUAGUUGAGCUAGAGACCUUUUGAGGUCAGGGAACAUUGAUCAUUGGCUGAUGUGACUCUUACUGAGGCUGGAUUGGAGAUGGUUAAUUGGUACCCAUUUUUGCCCUCAGCUUCCUGAUAUGAUUGAAUAAAAAUUUCUGGUGAGUAGAUGUGCAGCCUGAGAAUUUAAAGUAGAAAUGACAUGAGUUUAGAUUUGUGAUUCCUGUAAGAUUGUUUUUUAUAAAUUACUUUUUAAGAUAAAUAAUAAAAUAAUUGAUCCUUUCUUUGUAAUCUCAAAUCCCUGCCAGUCAGUAAGAGAAACUUGCUGAGAAAAUUACCUUUUUUGCUUAUAUUGAUAAUUUAUAACAAGUUGCUUAGUUAUGAAUGUACAUGGGUAUUUGGGAAUAAUUUAUUUUCUUUAUCUGUACUAUGUAGUGUUUUUCAUGCAAAGGUAUUGGGGAACACACUGUUUUUCAUAGUUAUUCAAGAGAAAAAUAGGAUGAAGUCACUUGUAAUUUCUAUGCUGCUUGAAAGAUUUUGUUGAGAUAUAUAAACUGUGGGAGAAAAAAUAAAGCUGUUAGAACAUGUUUGUUGAAGCUUUGCUCUGCCCUAAACUGGGAGACUUUGAAAAAAAUCAAAGUUACAGGAAUUCCUCUUCAAUGGACCUAGAACUAUUUCCUCCAACAAAGAGUUUCCUGAGCAACAAAUAAA